This 415-nucleotide ribosomal RNA is filed under the name uncultured bacterium. Its description in RNAcentral is "bacterial SSU rRNA". It matches the Rfam family "Bacterial small subunit ribosomal RNA", at positions 15 to 416 of the family's 1533-position model. The record is from RNAcentral.
GAUCCUGGCUCAGAACGAACGUUGGCGGCGUGGAUGAGGCAUGCAAGUCGAACGUGAAAAGCCGCAAGGUGAGUAGCGUGGCGGACGGGCGAGUAACACGUAACCAAGCUGCCUGCGAGACGGGGAUAACCUCGGGAAACCGAGGCUAAGACCCGAUGGUCUGCCGGGGACGCAUGUUCCUGGUAGUAAAUGGGCGGGAUCCUUCGGGAUCGCCUGCUCGCAGAGGUGGUUGCGGCCCAUCAGCUAGUUGGUAGGGUAAUGGCCUACCAAGGCAACGACGGGUAGCCGGCCUUAGAGGGUGGUCGGCCGCACUGGGACUGAGACACUGCCCAGACUCCUACGGGAGGCUGCAGUCGAGAAUCUUCCGCAAUGGGCGAAAGCCUGACGGAGCGACGCCGCGUGGAGGACGAAGGCC